UUGAACUGAAGAGUUUGAUCCUGGCUCAGAUUGAACGCUGGCGGCAUGCCUUACACAUGCAAGUCGAACGGCAGCACGGGCUUCGGCCUGGUGGCGAGUGGCGAACGGGUGAGUAAUACAUCGGAACAUGUCCUGUAGUGGGGGAUAGCCCGGCGAAAGCCGGAUUAAUACCGCAUACGAUC
This 182-nucleotide ribosomal RNA is filed under the name Burkholderia ubonensis. Its description in RNAcentral is "partial 16S ribosomal RNA". It matches the Rfam family "Bacterial small subunit ribosomal RNA", at positions 1 to 180 of the family's 1533-position model. Lineage: Bacteria; Pseudomonadati; Pseudomonadota; Betaproteobacteria; Burkholderiales; Burkholderiaceae. The record is from RNAcentral.